This 371-nucleotide ribosomal RNA is filed under the name uncultured bacterium. RNAcentral's name for it is "bacterial SSU rRNA". It matches the Rfam family "Bacterial small subunit ribosomal RNA", at positions 523 to 898 of the family's 1533-position model. The record is from RNAcentral.
AUACGAGGGGUGCAAGCGUUGUUCGGAAUUACUGGGCGUAAAGGGAACGUAGGCGGGUAAUCAAGUUGGCUGUUUAAUCCCGAGGCCCAACCUCGGACUUGCAGUCAAAACUGAUUGUCCUGAAUUAUUCAGAGGCAGAUGGAAUUUCAGGUGUAGCGGUGGAAUGCGUAGAUAUCUGAAAGAACACCAAUGGCGAAGGCAGUCUGCUGGGGAUACAUUGACGCUGAGGUUCGAAAGCGUGGGUAGCGAACAGGAUUAGAUACCCUGGUAGUCCACGCUGUAAACGAUGUGUACUAGGUGUCAGUAUUUAUACUGGUACCGCAGCUAACGCUUUAAGUACACCGCCUGGGUAGUACGCUCGCAAGAGUGAA